RNAcentral lists this ribosomal RNA (468 nucleotides) under uncultured bacterium. Its description in RNAcentral is "partial 16S ribosomal RNA". It matches the Rfam family "Bacterial small subunit ribosomal RNA", at positions 28 to 507 of the family's 1533-position model. The record is from RNAcentral.
GACGAACGCUGGCGGCGUGCUUAACACAUGCAAGUCGAACGGAAAGGCCCUGCUUUUGUGGGGUGCUCGAGUGGCGAACGGGUGAGUAACACGUGAGUAACCUGCCCUUGACUUUGGGAUAACUUCAGGAAACUGGGGCUAAUACCGGAUAGGAGCUCCUGCUGCAUGGUGGGGGUUGGAAAGUUUCGGCGGUUGGGGAUGGACUCGCGGCUUAUCAGCUUGUUGGUGGGGUAGUGGCUUACCAAGGCUUUGACGGGUAGCCGGCCUGAGAGGGUGACCGGCCACAUUGAGACUGAGAUACGGCCCAGACUCCUACGGGAGGCAGCAGUGGGGAAUAUUGCACAAUGGGCGGAAGCCUGAUGCGGCAACGCCGCGUUCGGGAUGACGGCCUUCGGGUUGUAAACCGCUUUCGCCUGUGACGAAGCGUGAGUGACGGUAAUGGGUAAAGAAGCACCGGCUAACUACGUG